GGGGCAGUAGCUCAGUGGGUAGAGCAUCAUCUUUAAUCUUGAGAUCAUCUUGAUAAAAAGGUCAAUUAAGAUUUACUUCUAUCCCGUGACGGUCGUCGGUUCGACUCCGGCCUGCUCCA
This 119-nucleotide transfer RNA is filed under the name Bacteroides xylanisolvens. RNAcentral's name for it is "tRNA-OTHER". It matches the Rfam family "tRNA". From Rfam's summary of the family: Transfer RNA (tRNA) molecules are approximately 80 nucleotides in length. Their secondary structure includes four short double-helical elements and three loops (D, anti-codon, and T loops). RNAcentral also lists the same sequence under 1 other name. The record is from RNAcentral. Lineage: Bacteria; Pseudomonadati; Bacteroidota; Bacteroidia; Bacteroidales; Bacteroidaceae.